Molecule: non-coding RNA, 76 nt
Organism: Myotis lucifugus (little brown bat)
Lineage: Eukaryota; Metazoa; Chordata; Mammalia; Chiroptera; Vespertilionidae
Source: Rfam
GGUGGUUCUCAGGUGAUGCAUCCCAGAAUCGGACUCCCACCUCUCUGGUUCCGGGCUGUGUCACCUGAGAACUGCU